AGUGAACGCUGGCGGUAGGCCUAACACAUGCAAGUCGAACGGCAGCACAGUAAGAGCUUGCUCUUACGGGUGGCGAGUGGCGGACGGGUGAGGCAUACAUCGGAAUCUACUUUUUCGUGGGGGAUAUCGUAGGGAAACUUACGCUAAUACCGCAUAUGACCUACGGGUGAAAGCAGGGGAUCUUCGGAGCUUGCGCGAUAGAAUGAGCCGAUGUCGGAUUAGCUAGUUGGCUGGGUAAAGGCCCACCAAGGCAACGAUCCGUAGCUGGUCUGAGAGGAUGAUCGGCCACACUGGAACUGAGACACGGUCCAGACUCCUACGGGAGGCAGCAGUGGGGAAUCUUGGGCAAUGGGCGAAAGCCUGAUCCAGCAAUGCCGCGUGGGUGAAGAAGGCCUUCGGGUUGUAAAGCCCUUUUGUUGGGAAAGAAAAACAGCAGAUUUAUCCCCCGAUGUUCUGACGGUACCUAAAGAGCAAGCACCGGCUAACUUCGUG
This 492-nucleotide ribosomal RNA is filed under the name uncultured bacterium. RNAcentral's name for it is "partial 16S ribosomal RNA". It matches the Rfam family "Bacterial small subunit ribosomal RNA", at positions 29 to 507 of the family's 1533-position model. The record is from RNAcentral.